UGACCAAAAGUUGAUAUGUUAAAGCUAAUGAACUAAUCAACCAAAAACUGACGCAUAAAAGAGUGCUCAGGGACCAAUGUUGCUUUUCAUAUUUGAUUUUCAAGUCUAUUGGUGCUCUGGGACCAAUCCUGCUUCUGAUAUUUUAUUUUCAACUGAUUUGCUUAGAAAAAAUAGAAAACAAGUUUGAUUUUUUGCAAUCUCUGUUCAUAAAUGAGUAAUUGUUGAUGACGUUUCUUUUCUUUUUUCUUUCUUUUGGCCUUUUUGGGUUGUUUCUGUGUUUUGUCUGUUUGGUUGCGGAUGCCUUAUCCACCUUUUCAAUAUAUCGUUUCUCUUUAGAAAAGAAAAUCAAUAUUCAAGACAUCUUUGCUCCAAAAUAAUGUAUGCAUGCAUUAAUUUUGGUAAACUAAAUUGAGUUUAUGCUUAUGGGAUUAAAUAUUUUUCCAUAUUUUUGUUGCACUGUUUCUUUUCUUAUUCUUAUAUGCAGGGAUGAUAAUUUGUUUUCUUUUCUUUUCAGUUUCAAACAGAUUUACAGUUCUUUUCUCUUGCUUAAAUUUGUGAAAUAUAUGUAUAUGGAGAGCCCAUAUUAAGAAAUAGCGGUUACGCAUUAUGUGGCCUUUUUAUUGGGUUUAACGAUGGAGUACAAUGUGUUCAUUUGAUGUUUUUAGCUGAGAUUGUGAUCAAUUUCAUUUUGUGGAUUUUCAGGUUUUGCAAGAUGAUAGUAGUGUAUGAGAGCGUCAAGAGGAGGCUGUGAGUAGAAGGCGGUUCUUUGCAGGCUAGACAAGCAAAAGUUCCCUCUUUGGACUUGCUCCACUUGAAGCAGUGCUAUUUAAUAUUGAUAGAACUCCAUGUGAUUUAGAUCCCAUUCAUUUCAAUGCCUUCCACAAAAUGCUUCCAUAGUUUGUGCAAGAUGUUAACAAUGUACAAGAGAAUCCAGAAGAGGCUAUGAGUAGAAGGAGGUUCUUUGCAGGUAUUGUGCUACAAAUUUCAAGUGGAACCAAGUGUUAUUCUAUUGAGUUGUAGGUAUUCUGCUACAAAUUUCAAGUGGAACCAAGUGUUAUUCUACUAAGAUUUGUAGGUGUUGUGACAUAAAUGGCAAUACAGUUUAUUUUUGUACUA
Long non-coding RNA from Prunus dulcis (almond), 1116 nucleotides. RefSeq lists it as uncharacterized. The transcript is spliced from 4 exons. NCBI's taxonomy places the organism in Eukaryota, Viridiplantae, Streptophyta, Magnoliopsida, Rosales, Rosaceae. The record is from RefSeq and is a predicted model, not a curated record.